GUUAAAAACUUUCAACAACGGAUCUCUUGGUUCUGGCAUCGAUGAAGAACGCAGCGAAAUGCGAUACGUAAUGUGAAUUGCAGAAUUUAGUGAAUCAUCGAAUCUUUGAACGCACAUUGCGCCCGCCAGUAUUCUGGCGGGCAUGCCUGUUCGAGCGUCAUUUCAACCCUUAAGCC
RNAcentral lists this ribosomal RNA (176 nucleotides) under Nemania plumbea. RNAcentral describes it as "5.8S ribosomal RNA". The stretch from base 7 to 160 matches the Rfam family "5.8S ribosomal RNA". From Rfam's summary of the family: 5.8S ribosomal RNA (5.8S rRNA) is a component of the large subunit of the eukaryotic ribosome. It is transcribed by RNA polymerase I as part of the 45S precursor that also contains 18S and 28S rRNA. Functionally, it is thought that 5.8S rRNA may be involved in ribosome translocation. The record is from RNAcentral. Lineage: Eukaryota; Fungi; Ascomycota; Sordariomycetes; Xylariales; Xylariaceae.